This 73-nucleotide transfer RNA is filed under the name Trichonephila inaurata madagascariensis. It matches the Rfam family "tRNA". From Rfam's summary of the family: Transfer RNA (tRNA) molecules are approximately 80 nucleotides in length. Their secondary structure includes four short double-helical elements and three loops (D, anti-codon, and T loops). The record is from Rfam by way of RNAcentral. Lineage: Eukaryota; Metazoa; Arthropoda; Arachnida; Araneae; Nephilidae.
AUCCCUGUAGCGCAAUGGACAGCCCGUUGGACUUCUAAUCCAAAGGUCAUAGUUUCGAAUCCCAUCUCGGAUG